AUACGGAGGGUGCGAGCGUUGUUCGGAAUUAUUGGGCGUAAAGAGCAUGUAGGCGGUCUGUUAAGUCUGGUGUGAAAGCCCGGGGCUCAACCCCGGAAGUGCAUUGGAUACUGGCAGACUUGAGUAUGGGAGAGGAAAGCGGAAUUCCGAGUGUAGGAGUGAAAUCCGUAGAUAUUCGGAGGAACACCAGUGGCGAAGGCGGCUUUCUGGACCAAUACUGACGCUGAGAUGCGAAAGCGUGGGUAGCAAACAGGAUUAGAAACCCUAGUAGUCC
RNAcentral lists this ribosomal RNA (274 nucleotides) under uncultured bacterium. Its description in RNAcentral is "partial 16S ribosomal RNA". It matches the Rfam family "Bacterial small subunit ribosomal RNA", at positions 523 to 796 of the family's 1533-position model. The record is from RNAcentral.